This 286-nucleotide signal recognition particle RNA is filed under the name Cebus imitator (Panamanian white-faced capuchin). RNAcentral's name for it is "Metazoan signal recognition particle RNA (ENSCCAG00000008921.1)". It matches the Rfam family "Metazoan signal recognition particle RNA". From Rfam's summary of the family: The signal recognition particle (SRP) is a universally conserved ribonucleoprotein. It is involved in the co-translational targeting of proteins to membranes. Lineage: Eukaryota; Metazoa; Chordata; Mammalia; Primates; Cebidae. The record is from RNAcentral.
GCUGGGCAUAGUGUGGGUGCUUGUAAUCCCAGCUGCGGCGGGAAGAUAGUUUGAGUUUAGGAGUUCUGGGCUGUAGCGUGCUAUGCCAGUUGGGUGUCUACACCCAGUUUGGUGUUAGUAUGGUGACUUCCCGGGACCUGGAGAUCAUCAGGCUGCCUAAGCAGGGGUGAAACAACCCAGGUCAGAAACAAAGCAGUUCAAAACUCCUGUGCUAAUCAGUAGUGGGCUUGGUGCCCGUGAAUAGCCACUGCACUCCAGCCUGGGCAACAUAGCGAUACCUGUCUCU